CAUAAAUGAGCAACAAGAUCAACUAAACAGCCGAUCAAACAACCAUCAUCGAUCCAUCUACUACAACAACACAACAAACAAUUGCUGUUAUUAUAACCAAAGAGCGGGUGAUUUUAAGAUCAUAGCUGCUGUUCGUAUUGCAGAUUUAUGGAAUGGAUUUUGAAAGAAACGCAAGAACCUUAUAUGGCAUGUGGAAUGAUGAAGUAAUGAUUAUAAACAAUCUUUGGUACAUAAUAUUCAACCAACUCCACCGCAAGCCUUGUUCAAAUACAAUUCACAGAAGUUCGAAAUAAAGAAGAAGUUGAUGAAAAUAAAGCAACAGAAUAUGAUGAAGAUGAUGAUGACGCUAAAGUUGAAAAAAAGAGUUUUUAUUGCAACCAAAAGCAACUGUGUGAAUUCUUUCGGUUUUCAAUGAACGUGUUUAAAAUUUAGAUGAGUUUCUUUUGUUGUUGUCUUCUUUGGUUGGAUUUUGUGUAUUCGUAACAAUACAAAAAUGACAUUUAUAAUGUCAUAAAAGUUU
Molecule: long non-coding RNA, 520 nt
Organism: Lucilia sericata (common green bottle fly)
Lineage: Eukaryota; Metazoa; Arthropoda; Insecta; Diptera; Calliphoridae
Exons: 2
Source: RefSeq, a predicted model, not a curated record